RNAcentral lists this ribosomal RNA (393 nucleotides) under uncultured bacterium. Its description in RNAcentral is "partial 16S ribosomal RNA". It matches the Rfam family "Bacterial small subunit ribosomal RNA", at positions 523 to 918 of the family's 1533-position model. The record is from RNAcentral.
AUACGGAGGAUGCGAGCGUUAUCCGGAUUUAUUGGGUUUAAAGGGUGCGUAGGCGGACGAUUAAGUCAGCUGUGAAAUGCCCGCGCUUAACGCGGGAAGUGCAGUUGAUACUGGUUGUCUGGAGUGCCGUUGCCGUGGGGGGAAUGUGUAGUGUAGCGGUGAAAUGCAUAGAUAUUACACAGAACGCCGAUUGGGAAGACACCUCCCGAAGGGGUAAGUAACGCUGAGGCACGAAAGCGUGGGGAUCGAACAGGAUUAGAUCCCCUGGUAGCCCACGCAGUAAACGAUGAUGACUAGCCGUCGGCGACAGACCGCCGGUGGCCAAGCGAAAGCGAUAAGUCAUCCACCUGGGGAGUACGACCGCAAGGUUGAAACUCAAAGGAAUUGACGGGG